This 297-nucleotide ribosomal RNA is filed under the name uncultured Sphingomonadaceae bacterium. RNAcentral's name for it is "partial 16S ribosomal RNA". It matches the Rfam family "Bacterial small subunit ribosomal RNA", at positions 111 to 426 of the family's 1533-position model. The record is from RNAcentral. Lineage: Bacteria; Pseudomonadati; Pseudomonadota; Alphaproteobacteria; Sphingomonadales; Sphingomonadaceae.
UAACGCGUGGGAAUCUGCCCUGGAGUGGGGGAUAACCCGGCGAAAGCCGGGCUAAUACCGCAUACGUCCUGAGGGAGAAAGAUUUAUCGCUCUAGGAGGGGCCCGCGUCGGAUUAGCUAGUUGGUGAGGUAACGGCUCACCAAGGCGACGAUCCGUAGCUGGUCUGAGAGGAUGAUCAGCCCCACUGGGACUGAGACACGGCCCAGACUCCUACGGGAGGCACCAGUGGGGAAUAUUGGCCAAUGGGGGCAACCCUGAUCCAGCAAUGCCGCGUGAGUAUGAAGGCCUUAGGGUUGU